This 439-nucleotide ribosomal RNA is filed under the name uncultured bacterium. RNAcentral describes it as "partial 16S ribosomal RNA". It matches the Rfam family "Bacterial small subunit ribosomal RNA", at positions 338 to 795 of the family's 1533-position model. The record is from RNAcentral.
CCUACGGGCGGCAGCAGUGAGGGAUAUUGCACAAUGGGCGAGACUCUGAUCCAGCGAAGCCGCGUGAGGGAAGACGGUCUUCCGGUUUGAAACCUCUGUCUUUGGGGGAGCAAAUGACGGUACCCAAGGGCGAAGCUCCGGCUAACUACGUACCAGCAGCCGCUGUAUUACGUAGGGAGCGAGCGUUAUCCGGAAUUACUGGGUGUAAAGGGAGCGUAGGCGGGAGAGAAAGUUGAAUGUAAAAUUUACCGGCUUAACCGGUAGGUGCGGUUAAAACUUCUUGUCUUGAGUGAACGAGAGGUAUGCGGAAUGCGUAGGGUAGCGGUGAAAUGCGUAGAUAUCAGGAGGAACACCAGUGGCGAAGGCGGCAUGCUGGGGCCCAACUGACGCUGAGGCACGAAAGCGUGGGUAUCGAACAGGAUUAGAUACCCGAGUAGUC